RNAcentral lists this long non-coding RNA (537 nucleotides) under Olea europaea (common olive). RNAcentral describes it as "long non-coding RNA (OEUR_LNC010570)". Lineage: Eukaryota; Viridiplantae; Streptophyta; Magnoliopsida; Lamiales; Oleaceae. The record is from RNAcentral.
GUCAAUUAGGACCCAAUUACACAUAGUUUAAUAGGUUGGGGAGAGAAAAGAUCACGUUCAAAAGUUGGAGAACAGAUUCCAUACUUCGUUUACGUUACUAAUAUUCAAGCGAGUUCAAAUAUUCCGACAACAUAAUGCCAUAUCCAUUCACACAUCUAUUCUAAUAUCGUCGGAUUCCAUCCAAUUACCUUAUCAAAUGAAAAUAAAUAAAUAAAUAAAAUAAAAAUAAAAAACCCAAUUCCCUAAUUAGAGUAGCCGAUAUGAAAUUUUAUUUAUACUUCUCCUACGAAUAUUACAAAGAGUCUCGCCCGACAACAGAAUUCUUGACACUAUUUUGCAAAUGAAGUCUACCAUAAAGGGUCCAUGAGCAGUAGUUAAAAGAAACAUUACAUAGCACAUAAACAGUUUUAAAGUUGGAACAAAUCAGCCUGUGAUUGAGGUUUUCUAAUCACAGCUACACUGCAUUCCUCCUUCCAAACCCCUGAGCCCUCUGGACUCUGCUCUUACGAAACUGCGAUAUGAAACAACAUGAAUUAG